AGUGCGGUCUCUUCCCCCCGGUACACACUCGAAUGCCCCGGCCCAGCUUUCUCCCCGACGUCUGCCCACACCGCCCCGGGCCAGAGCUCCGCUCCUUCUGCUGCGGCGCGCGCCCCCCGCCUCUCGUUUUAUAGCAGCCACGCCCCUUUCCCUCCCCGCCCCUCUCCGCCCCUCCUCUCCCUCCGUCCGGGGGAGGGCGCGCGCCCAUGCCCGCCCGGAGAGCGUCACUCGGCUCCAGACUUCGUAGCCAUUCUCCGCCCCGAAACCUCACAACCCCUAGGGCUAGCGCUCCUCACUCCACCCCUGCCCUGCCCCCUCCAGCCAUUGGUCAGGUCCCACCUGCCAAUCUGCUGCCGUAAGAGGAGCACGGAGGAGUUGGGGAGGGUGGGGUUUGGAGGGGGUUUGGAGGGAGGAGUUAGGACACACCCCAUGGUGCUCGAGAUUUGGCCAAUGAGCCGACGUUCUGGAAUGAACAGGGGCGGGGGAGGAGGGUUUUUGAAGCGGGAUUGGACAGAAGGAGUGCCACAGUCAGUUCAUCUCCUCCUGGCAACCCCAGAAGCAAAAGCAUUGGCUUGGGAUGACUUUGGCCUUGGAGAUGAGCGGAGGAGGACAUUUCUUUUUUCAAAUGUCAAACCCAGCCCCCCCUGCACUCAAGGAAUGGGGACGCCGAGUGCUGUUCUGCUGGAUGGCCUGUCUGAGUAUUUUUAUACAAGCACCAGUAUUAGAAAUGUCUUUUUAAUCUCUGUGCACAUAAUAAACAGACGGUAUCGCCCUGUCAUGCCCUGUAUUGUAUUACCAGCCUGUUCCUUUAAGACCUUUUUCAGUUGAAGUGUGUAAGGCGAAAAAAAAAUUGGGGAGGGGAAAAGGAGUGAUUGGAGGGGGUGAGGGUAAACAGGGAGGUGGGCCUUCUUCACAACCUGCGGCAGAGAAAUGUAUGAAGUUACAGAGGGAGUGGAACUGCCCCCCCCUUGCUAAAAAUAUUGCUCACAGGUAGCAACGAUGUCUGAUUGGCCACACUUUCCCCUUAGCAACCCGGCAAUUGGUUGUUUGGUAUCUAGGAGGAAUACGUAAAACUCCAGUUUGGAAAAGGGGAGAAAGAAGAAAGGGGAGGGAGCAAGGGUUGGGGGGAGACACAAGGAAGGAGUAGGGAGAGAGAGAGAGAGAGAUGGGAGGAGGAGGAGGAGAGAAAAGGGAGGGGGACACAAGGAAGGAGAAAGAAGGGGGAGCAAGGGGGAGCAAGGAGGAGGAGCGGGGAGAAGGGAGGAGGGCACAAGGAAAGGGAAGAGUGAGAGAAGGAAGGAGAGGAGGAAAGAGGGGAGAAAGAAGAGGAAGAAAAAGGACACGGAAUAAGAAGGGAGGGAGGAAGGGGAGGAGGAAAAGAGAAAAAGGAGGGCGAGAGCAGGGAAGGAAUGAAGCAGUGAAUGAAAACGCCCAGCUUUCUAAAGUCUCCGGAUGGAUUCCUUUCCAAAGCACUUAAGGGGCCACGGGUGGGAAAAAAAAGUCACGGGGCCACCUUCCCCCAGAAACUUCAAGAGCACCCCCAGCUUGUUUCAAGGAAAGUAGACAAGCAACUAACCUACAAGUUGUAUAUCCUGAGAACAGGCAUGACGACAGUUGCUGGAGCUCCAAGGCAACAACUCUCUUAACGAAUCAAGCCCAGAGGCUUUUAAUUUCACGGACAUAAAGUCUGAACCCAGUAUUCUCUCCCACCCUUGUCCAUUCUCCCCUUCUCAUUAUUAUUAUUGUUAUUAUUAUUUUUUAGAAGGUGUAUUGCCAGAAGAGAUGGAAGAAUAUUUUCUUCUAAAGCUGAGUGUGUGUGGGUGUGGGG
Molecule: long non-coding RNA, 1828 nt
Filed under: Phascolarctos cinereus (koala)
Lineage: Eukaryota; Metazoa; Chordata; Mammalia; Diprotodontia; Phascolarctidae
Description: lncRNA (ENSPCIG00000030163.2)
Source: RNAcentral